AUUUUAUUAGUUUAUUUUUUAAAAAUGUUAAUUUGUCAAAUUAAAGAAGGAAAUUUAUUUCCAUAAAAUU
Molecule: transfer RNA, 70 nt
Filed under: Naesiotus nux
Lineage: Eukaryota; Metazoa; Mollusca; Gastropoda; Stylommatophora; Orthalicidae
Description: tRNA-Asp
Source: RNAcentral